This 253-nucleotide ribosomal RNA is filed under the name uncultured bacterium. Its description in RNAcentral is "partial 16S ribosomal RNA". It matches the Rfam family "Bacterial small subunit ribosomal RNA", at positions 524 to 776 of the family's 1533-position model. The record is from RNAcentral.
UACGUAGGGUGCAAGCGUUAUCCGGAAUUAUUGGGCGUAAAGAGCUCGUAGGCGGUUUGUCGCGUCUGCUGUGAAAACUGGGGGCUCAACCCCCAGCCUGCAGUGGGUACGGGCAGACUAGAGUGCGGUAGGGGAGAUUGGAAUUCCUGGUGUAGCGGUGGAAUGCGCAGAUAUCAGGAGGAACACCAAUGGCGAAGGCGGCGCUCUGGGCUGGCACUGACGCUGAGGAGCGAAAGCGUGGGGAGCGAACAGG